GGACCAAGGAGUCUGACA
This 18-nucleotide small nuclear RNA is filed under the name Arabidopsis thaliana (thale cress). RNAcentral's name for it is "snRNA_00442". Lineage: Eukaryota; Viridiplantae; Streptophyta; Magnoliopsida; Brassicales; Brassicaceae. The record is from RNAcentral.